Molecule: long non-coding RNA, 949 nt
Filed under: Numida meleagris (helmeted guineafowl)
Lineage: Eukaryota; Metazoa; Chordata; Aves; Galliformes; Numididae
Description: lncRNA (ENSNMEG00000003079.1)
Source: RNAcentral
GCGUGUUCAGCGUCAUGGGCAGCGCCGUGCACGAGCAGGGGGAGGCUCUGAACCGCAUUGAGCUGCAAGUCCUCCAAUCCGGGGCCGCCGUGCACAAAGGCCACGCCCACCUGGGGACGGCGCACGGACGGCAGCGAGCGGCCAGGAGGGUGCGUGCCCCAUAGCGACCCANAAGGGAUUAUUGGGGCUAUUAAUGAGGUUUUGGGGGCUAUUAAAGGGAUUAUUGGGGCUAUUAAUGAGGUUUUGGGGGCUAUUAAAGGGAUUAUUGGGGCUAUUAAUGAGGUUUUGGGGGCUAUUAAAGGGAUUAUUGGGGCUAUUAAUGGGGUUUUGCGGGCUAUUAAUGGAGUUUUUGGGGUUAUUAAUGAGGCUUUUGGGCCUAUUAAAGGGGUUUUCGGGGCUAUUAAUGGGGUUUUGGGGGCUAUUAAUGGCGUUAUUGGGGCUAUUAAUGGGUUUUUGGGGGCCUAUUAAUGGGGAUAUUGGAGUAUUAAUGGGGUUUGGGGGGCUGUUAAUGGGGUUAUCGGGGCUGUUAAUGAGGUUUUUGUGCCUAUUAAUGGGAUUAUUGGGGCUAUUGAUGAGGUUUUGGGGCCUAUUAAUGGGAUUUUGGGGCUAUUAAUGGGGUUUUUGGGCCUAUUAAUGGCGUCCCCUGAGAUGUGUGGGGCGCCCCAUAGCCGGGAACUCGGCGGUGACGGACGAGGAACUGGAGGAGAUGCUGGAAACGGGGCAGAGCGAAGUGUUCGUCUCCAACGUGAGUUGUGGGGCGCCCCAUAGAGCCCGCUGUGCCCCAUAGUGCCCCAUAGAUCCCAUCGGGACCCAUAGUGACCCCAUGGAGCCCCACAGUGCCCCAUAGAUCCCAAAGGGACCCCAUAGGGCCUCAUAGAUCCUAUCGGGACCCGUAGCGACCCCAUAGAGCCCCAUAGUGCCCCAUAGAUCCCAUAGGGACCCCAUAGGG